UACAGAGGGGGCAAGCGUUAUUCGGAAUUACUGGGCGUAAAGGGCGCGUAGGCGGCCUUGUAAGUCCUGUGUGAAAUCCCCCGGCUCAACUGGGGAACUGCACAGGAGACUGCUUGGCUUGAGUUCGGGAGAGGGAAGCGGAAUUCCGGGUGUAGCGGUGAAAUGCGUAGAUAUCCGGAGGAACACCGGUGGCGAAGGCGGCUUCCUGGACCGACACUGACGCUGAGGCGCGAAGCCAGGGGAGCAAACGGG
RNAcentral lists this ribosomal RNA (252 nucleotides) under uncultured bacterium. Its description in RNAcentral is "partial 16S ribosomal RNA". It matches the Rfam family "Bacterial small subunit ribosomal RNA", at positions 524 to 776 of the family's 1533-position model. The record is from RNAcentral.